UGGGGAAUCUUGGGCAAUGGGGGCAACCCUGACCCAGCGACGCCGCGUGGGGGAUGACGGCCUUCGGGUUGUAAACCCCUGUCAGGGGGGACGAUGCUGACGGUACCACCAGAAGCAGCCCCGGCUAACUCUGUGCCAGCAGCCGCGGUAAGACAGAGGGGGCAAGCGUUGUCCGGAGUUACUGGGCGUAAAGGGCGCGUAGGUGGUUCAUUAAGUUAGAGGUGAAAGGCCGCAGCUCAAGUGCGGGAC
Molecule: ribosomal RNA, 249 nt
Filed under: uncultured organism
Description: partial 16S ribosomal RNA
Rfam family: Bacterial small subunit ribosomal RNA
Source: RNAcentral